GGGGUGGGGCUCAGAGCAAGAGCUCUCGCCUAGCGUUCGUGAGGCACUGGGUUCGAUCCUCAGCACCACA
Molecule: transfer RNA, 70 nt
Filed under: Marmota monax (woodchuck)
Lineage: Eukaryota; Metazoa; Chordata; Mammalia; Rodentia; Sciuridae
Description: tRNA.Ala
Source: RNAcentral